GAUGAACGCUGGCGGCGUGCCUAAUACAUGCAAGUCGAGCGAACAGAUGAGGAGCUUGCUCCUCUGACGUUAGCGGCGGACGGGUGAGUAACACGUGGAUAACCUACCUAUAAGACUGGGAUCACUUCGGGAAACCGGCGCUAAUACCGGAUAAUAUAUUGAACCGCAUGGUUCAAUAGUGAAAGACGGUUUUGCUGCUACUUAUAGAUGGAUCCGCGCCGCAUUAGCUUGUUGGUAAGGUAACGGCUUACCACGGCGACGAUUCGUCGCCGACCUGAGAGGGUGAUCGGCCACACGGGAACUGAGACACGGCCCAGACUCCUACGGGAGGCAGCGGUAGGGAAUCUUCCGCAAGGGGGGAAAUCCUGACGGAGCAACGCCGCGUGAGUGAUGAAGGUCUUCGGAUCGUAAACCUCUGUUAUUAGGGAAGAACAAAUGUGUAAGUAACUAUGCACGUCUUGACGGUACCUAAUCAGAAAGCCACGGCUAACUACGUG
This 497-nucleotide ribosomal RNA is filed under the name uncultured bacterium. RNAcentral describes it as "partial 16S ribosomal RNA". It matches the Rfam family "Bacterial small subunit ribosomal RNA", at positions 28 to 507 of the family's 1533-position model. The record is from RNAcentral.